This 7592-nucleotide long non-coding RNA is filed under the name Sorghum bicolor (sorghum). Its description in RNAcentral is "long non-coding RNA (SBIC_LNC015499)". The record is from RNAcentral. Lineage: Eukaryota; Viridiplantae; Streptophyta; Magnoliopsida; Poales; Poaceae.
CGCGCCUCCGUGUACGGCCCGCCCAUAGCUCCUUCGACGGCGCCGCCUAGGAACGCGGAGAAAAUAUGACAAAGGAACGGCCAAAAAUAAAAAGAAAGACCUUUCUUUUGAAAAAACAAACAAAAAAAGGAAUGCAACACGAGGACUUCCCAGGAGGUCACCCAUCCUAGUACUACUCUCGCCCAAGCACGCUUAACUUCAAAGUUCUGAUGGGAUCCGGUGCUUUAGUGCUGGUAUGAUCGCAUCCGACAUACCGUGCGUUCUCCUCCCCUUUAUGCCCGCGCCUCCGUGUACGGCCCGCCCAUAGCUCCUUCGACGGCGCCGCCUAGGAACGCGGAGAAAAUAUGACAAAGGAACGGCCAAAAAUAAAAAGAAAGACCUUUCUUUUGAAAAAACAAACAAAAAAAGGAAUGCAACACGAGGACUUCCCAGGAGGUCACCCAUCCUAGUACUACUGUCGCCCAAGCACGCUUAAGUUCGGAGUUCUGAUGGGAUCCGGUGCUUUAGUGCUGGUAUGAUCGCAUCCGACAUGCCGUGCGUUCUCCUCCCCUUUAUGCCCGCGCCUCCGUGUACGGCCCGCCCAUAGCUCCUUCGUCGGCGCCGCCUAGGAACGCGGAGAAAAUAUGACAAAGGAACGGCCAAAAAUAAAAAGAAAGACCUUUCUUUUGAAAAAACAAACGCCUCCGUGUACGGCCCGCCCAUAGCUCCUUCGACGGCGCCGCCUAGGAACGCGGAGAAAAUAUGACAAAGGAACGGCCAAAAAUAAAAAGAAAGACCUUUCUUUUGAAAAAACAAACAAAAAAAAGGAAUGCAACACGAGGACUUCCCAGGAGGUCACCCAUCCUAGUACUACUCUCGCCCAAGCACGCUUAACUUCGGAGUUCUGAUGGGAUCCGGUGCUUUAGUGCUGGUAUGAUCGCAUCCGACAUACCGUGCGUUCUCCUCCCCUUUAUGCCCGCCCCUCCGUGUACGGCCCGCCCAUAGCUCUUUCGACGGCGCCGCCUAGGAACGCGGAGAAAAUAUGACAAAGGAACGGCCAAAAAUAAAAAGAAAGACCUUUCUUUUGAAAAAACAAACGCCUCCGUGUACGGCCCGCCCAUAGCUCCUUCGACGGCGCCGCCUAGGAACGCGGAGAAAAUAUGACAAAGGAACGGCCAAAAAUAAAAAGAAAGACCUUUCUUUUGAAAAAACAAACAAAAAAAAGGAAUGCAACACGAGGACUUCCCAGGAGGUCACCCAUCCUAGUACUACUCUCGCCCAAGCACGCUUAACUUCGGAGUUCUGAUGGGAUCCGGUGCUUUAGUGCUGGUAUGAUCGCAUCCGACAUACCGUGCGUUCUCCUCCCCUUUAUGCCCGCGCCUCCGUGUACGGCCCGCCCAUAGCUCCUUCGACGGCGCCGCCUAGGAACGCGGAGAAAAUAUGACAAAGGAACGGCCAAAAAUAAAAAGAAAGACCUUUCUUUUGAAAAAACAAACAAAAAAAAGGAAUGCAACACGAGGACUUCCCAGGAGGUCACCCAUCCUAGUACUACUCUCGCCCAAGCACGCUUAACUUCGGAGUUCUGAUGGGAUCCGGUGCUUUAGUGCUGGUAUGAUCGCAUCCGACAUACCGUGCGUUCUCCUCCCCUUUAUGCCCGCGCCUCCGUGUACGGCCCGCCCAUAGCUCCUUCGACGGCGCCGCCUAGGAACGCGGAGAAAAUAUGACAAAGGAACGGGCAAAAAUAAAAAGAAAGACCUUUCUUUUGAAAAAACAAACAAAAAAAAGGAAUGCAACACGAGGACUUCCCAGGAGGUCACCCAUCCUAGUACUACUCUCGCCCAAGCACGCUUAACUUCGGAGUUCUGAUGGGAUCCGGUGCUUUAGUGCUGGUAUGAUCGCAUCCGACAUACCGUGCGUUCUCCUCCCCUUUAUGCCCGCGCCUCCGUGUACGGGCCGUCCAUAGCUCCUUCGACGGCGCCGCCUAUGAACGCGGAGAAAAUAUGACAAAGGAACGGCCAACAAUCAUACGAAAGACCUUUCUUUUGAAAAAACAAACAAAAAAAAGGAAUGCGACACGAGGACUUCCCAGGAGGUCACCCAUCCUAGUACUACUCUCGCCCAAGCACGCUUAACUUCGGAGUUCUGAUGGGAUCCGGUGCUUUAGUGCUAGUAUGAUCGCAUUCGACAUACCGUGCGUUCUCCUCCCCUUUAUGCCCGCGCCUCCGUGUACGGCCCGCCCAUAGCUCCUUCGACGGCGCCGCCUAGGAACGCGGAGAAAAUAUGACAAAGGAACGGCCAAAAAUAAAAAGAAAGACCUUUCUUUUGAAAAAACAAACAAAUAAAAGGAAUGCAACACGAGGACUUCCCAGGAGGUCACCCAUCCUAGUACUACUCUCGCCCAAGCACGCUUAACUUCGGAGUUCUGAUGGGAUCCGGUGCUUUAGUGCUGGUAUGAUCGCAUCCGACAUACCGUGCGUUCUCCUCCCCUUUAUGCCCGCGCCUCCGUGUACGGCCCGCCCAUAGCUCCUUCGACGGCGCCGCCUAGGAACGCGGAGAAAAUAUGACAAAGGAACGGCCAAAAAUAAAAAGAAAGACCUUUCUUUUGAAAAAACAAACGCCUCCGUGUACGGCCCGCCCAUAGCUCCUUCGACGGCGCCGCCUAGGAACGCGGAGAAAAUAUGACAAAGGAACGGCCAAAAAUAAAAAGAAAGACCUUUCUUUUGAAAAAACAAACAAAAAAAAGGAAUGCAACACGAGGACUUCCCAGGAGGUCACCCAUCCUAGUACUACUCUCGCCCAAGCACGCUUAACUUCGGAGUUCUGAUGGGAUCCGGUGCUUUAGUGCUGGUAUGAUCGCAUCCGACAUACCGUGCGUUCUCCUCCCCUUUAUGCCCGCGCCUCCGUGUACGGCCCGCCCAUAGCUCCUUCGACGGCGCCGCCUAGGAACGCGGAGAAAAUAUGACAAAGGAACGGCCAAAAAUAAAAAGAAAGACCUUUCUUUUGAAAAAACAAACAAAUAAAAGGAAUGCAACACGAGGACUUCCCAGGAGGUCACCCAUCCUAGUACUACUCUCGCCCAAGCACGCUUAACUUCGGAGUUCUGAUGGGAUCCGGUGCUUUAGUGCUGGUAUGAUCGCAUCCGACAUACCGUGCGUUCUCCUCCCCUUUAUGCCCGCGCCUCCGUGUACGGCCCGCCCAUAGCUCCUUCGACGGCGCCGCCUAGGAACGCGGAGAAAAUAUGACAAAGGAACGGCCAAAAAUAAAAAGAAAGACCUUUCUUUUGAAAAAACAAACAAAUAAAAGGAAUGCAACACGAGGACUUCCCAGGAGGUCACCCAUCCUAGUACUACUCUCGCCCAAGCACGCUUAACUUCGGAGUUCUGAUGGGAUCCGGUGCUUUAGUGCUGGUAUGAUCGCAUCCGACAUACCGUGCGUUCUCCUCCCCUUUAUGCCCGCGCCUCCGUGUACGGCCCGCCCAUAGCUCCUUCGACGGCGCCGCCUUGGAACGCGGAGAAAAUAUGACAAAGGAACGGCCAAAAAUAAAAAGAAAGACCUUUCUUUUGAAAAAACAAACAAAUAAAAGGAAUGCAACACGAGGACUUCCCAGGAGGUCACCCAUCCUAGUACUACUCUCGCCCAAGCACGCUUAACUUCGGAGUUCUGAUGGGAUCCGGUGCUUUAGUGCUGGUAUGAUCGCAUCCGACAUACCGUGCGUUCUCCUCCCCUUUAUGCCCGCGCCUCCGUGUACGGCCCGCCCAUAGCUCCUUCGACGGCGCCGCCUAGGAACGCGGAGAAAAUAUGACAAAGGAACGGCCAAAAAUAAAAAGAAAGACCUUUCUUUUGAAAAAACAAACAAAUAAAAGGAAUGCAACACGAGGACUUCCCAGGAGGUCACCCAUCCUAGUACUACUCUCGCCCAAGCACGCUUAACUUCGGAGUUCUGAUGGGAUCCGGUGCUUUAGUGCUGGUAUGAUCGCAUUCGACAUACCGUGCGUUCUCCUCCCCUUUAUGCCCGCGCCUCCGUGUACGGGCCGCCCAUAGCUCCUUCGACGGCGCCGCCUAGGAACGCGGAGAAAAUAUGACAAAGGAACGGCCAAAAAUAAAAAGAAAGACCUGUUCUUUUGAAAAAACAAACUAAAAAAAGGAAUGCAGCACGAGGACUUCCCAGGAGGUCACCCAUCCUAAUACUACUCUCGCCCAAGCACGCUUAACUUCGGAGUUCUGAUGGGAUCCGGAGCUUUAGUGUUGGUAUGAUCGCAUCCGACAUACCGUGCGUUCUCCUCCCCUUUAUGCACCCGCCUCCGUGUACGGCCCGCCCAUAGCUCCUUCGACGGCGCCGCCUAGGAACGCGGAGAAAAUAUGACAAAGGAACGGCCAAAAAUAAAAAGAAAGACCUUUCUUUUGAAAAAACAAACAAAAAAAAGGAAUGCAACACGAGGACUUCCCAGGAGGUCACCCAUCCUAGUACUACUCUCGCCCAAGCACGCUUAACUUCGGAGUUCUGAUGGGAUCCGGUGCUUUAGUGCUGGUAUGAUCGCAUCCGACAUACCGUGCGUUCUCCUCCCCUUUAUGCCCGCGCCUCCGUGUACGGCCCGCCCAUAGCUCCUUCGACGGCGCCGCCUAGGAACGCGGAGAAAAUAUGACAAAGGAACGGCCAAAAAUAAAAAGAAAGACCUUUCUUUUGAAAAAACAAACAAAAAAAAGGAAUGCAACACGAGGACUUCCCAGGAGGUCACCCAUCCUAGUACUACUCUCGCCCAAGCACGCUUAACUUCGGAGUUCUGAUGGGAUCCGGUGCUUUAGUGCUGGUAUGAUCGCAUCCGACAUACCGUGCGUUCUCCUCCCCUUUAUGCCCGCGCCUCCGUGUACGGCCCGCCCAUAGCUCCUUCGACGGCGCCGCCUAGGAACGCGGAGAAAAUAUGACAAAGGAACGGCCAAAAAUAAAAAGAAAGACCUUUCUUUUGAAAAAACAAACAAAUAAAAGGAAUGCAACACGAGGACUUCCCAGGAGGUCACCCAUCCUAGUACUACUCUCGCCCAAGCACGCUUAACUUCGGAGUUCUGAUGGGAUCCGGUGCUUUAGUGCUGGUAUGAUCGCAUCCGACAUACCGUGCGUUCUCCUCCCCUUUAUGCCCGCGCCUCCGUGUACGGCCCGCCCAUAGCUCCUUCGACGGCGCCGCCUAGGAACGCGGAGAAAAUAUGACAAAGGAACGGCCAAAAAUAAAAAGAAAGACCUUUCUUUUGAAAAAACAAACGCCUCCGUGUACGGCCCGCCCAUAGCUCCUUCGACGGCGCCGCCUAGGAACGCGGAGAAAAUAUGACAAAGGAACGGCCAAAAAUAAAAAGAAAGACCUUUCUUUUGAAAAAACAAACAAAAAAAAGGAAUGCAACACGAGGACUUCCCAGGAGGUCACCCAUCCUAGUACUACUCUCGCCCAAGCACGCUUAACUUCGGAGUUCUGAUGGGAUCCGGUGCUUUAGUGCUGGUAUGAUCGCAUCCGACAUACCGAGCGUUCUCCUCCCCUUUAUGCCCGCGCCUCCGUGUACGGCCCGCCCAUAGCUCCUUCGACGGCGCCGCCUAGGAACGCGGAGAAAAUAUGACAAAGGAACGGCCAAAAAUAAAAAGAAAGACCUUUCUUUUGAAAAAACAAACGCCUCCGUGUACGGCCCGCCCAUAGCUCCUUCGACGGCGCCGCCUAGGAACGCGGAGAAAAUAUGACAAAGGAACGGCCAAAAAUAAAAAGAAAGACCUUUCUUUUGAAAAAACAAACAAAAAAAAGGAAUGCAACACGAGGACUUCCCAGGAGGUCACCCAUCCUAGUACUACUCUCGCCCAAGCACGCUUAACUUCGGAGUUCUGAUGGGAUCCGGUGCUUUAGUGCUGGUAUGAUCGCAUCCGACAUACCGUGCGUUCUCCUCCCCUUUAUGCCCGCGCCUCCGUGUACGGCCCGCCCAUAGCUCCUUCGACGGCGCCGCCUAGGAACGCGGAGAAAAUAUGACAAAGGAACGGCCAAAAAUAAAAAGAAAGACCUUUCUUUUGAAAAAACAAACACCUAAAAGGAAUGCAACACGAGGACUUCCCAGGAGGUCACCCGUCAUCGUAGUACUCUCGCCCAAGCACGCUUAGCUUCGGAGUUCUGAUGAGAUCCGGUGCUUUAGUGCUGGUAUGAUCGCAUCCGACAUACCGUGAGUUCUCCUCCCCUUUAUGCCCGUGCCUCCAUGUACCGCCCGCCCAUAGCUCCUUCGACGGGACGCUCCUAGGAACGCGGAGAAAAUAUUACAAAGGAGCGCCCAAAAAUAAAAAGAAAGACCUUUCUUUUGAAAAAACAAACGCCUCCGUGUACGGCCCGCCCAUAGCUCCUUCGACGGCGCCGCCUAGGAACGCGGAGAAAAUAUGACAAAGGAACGGCCAAAAAUAAAAAGAAAGACCUUUCUUUUGAAAAAACAAACAAAAAAAAGGAAUGCAACACGCGGACUUCCCAGGAGGUCACCCAUCCUAGUACUACUCUCGCCCAAGCACGCUUAAGUUCGGAGUUCUGAUGGGAUCCGGUUCUUUAGUGCUGGCAUGCUCGCAUCAGGCAUGCCGCGCGUUCUCCUCCCCGGUAGGCACGCAUCUUAGUGUACGUCUCGCCCAUAGCUCCUUCGUUGGGAGCUCCUAGGAGCUCGGAGAAAAUAUGGCAAAGGAACGGCCAUAAAUAAAAAGAAAGACCUUUCUUCUGAAAAAACAAACGCCUCCGUGUACGGCCCGCCCAUAGCUCCUUCGACGGCGCCGCCUAGGAACGCGGAGAAAAUAUGACAAAGGAACGGCCAAAAAUAAAAAGAAAGACCUUUCUUUUGAAAAAACAAACAAAUAAAAGGAAUGCAACACGAGGACUUCCCAGGAGGUCACCCAUCCUAGUACUACUCUCGCCCAAGCACGCUUAACUUCGGAGUUCUGAUGGGAUCCGGUGCUUUAGUGCUGGUAUGAUCGCAUCCGACAUACCGUGCGUUCUCCUCCCCUUUAUGCCCGCGCCUCCGUGUACGGCCCGCCCAUAGCUCCUUCGACGGCGCCGCCUAGGAACGCGGAGAAGGAGUAUGACAAAGGAACGGCCAAAAAUAAAAAGAAAGACCUUUCUUUUGAAAAAACAAACAAAUAAAAGGAAUGCAACACGAGGACUUCCCAGGAGGUCACCCAUCCUAGUACUACUCUCGCCCAAGCACGCUUAACUUCGGAGUUCUGAUGGGAUCCGGUGCUUUAGUGCUGGUAUGAUCGCAUUCGACAUACCGGGCGUACUCCUCCCCUUUAUGCCCGCGCCUCCGUGUACGGCCCGCCCAUAGCUCCUUCGACGGCGCCGCCUAGGAACGCGGAGAAAAUAUGACAAAGGAACGGCCAAAAAUAAAAAGAAAGACCUUUCUUUUGAAAAAACAAACGAAUCCGAGGAAUGCAAGACGAGGACUUCCCAGGAGGUCACCCAUCCUAGUACUACUCUCGCCCAAGCACGCUUAAGUUCGGAGUUCUGAUGGGAUCCGGUGCUUUAGUGCUGGUAUGAUCGCGUCCGACGUACCGUGCGUUCUCCUCCCCUUGAUGCCCGUGCCUCCGUGUACGGCCCGCCCAUAGCUCCUUCGACGGCGCC